GAUGAACGCUGGCGGCGUGCCUAAUACAUGCAAGUCGAGCGAACGGACGAGAAGCUUGCGUCUCUGAUGUUAGCGGCGGACGGGUGAGUAACACGUGGAUAACCUACCUAUAAGACGGGGAUAACUUCGGGAAACCGGAGCUAAUACCGGAUAAUAUUUUGAUCCGCAUGGUUCAAAAGUGAAAGACGGUCUUGCUGUCACGUAUCGCUGGAUCCGGGCUGCAUUGGCUAGUUGGUACGGUAACGGCUUACCAAGGCAACGAUGCGUAGCCGACCUGUGAGAGGGGUAGGCGGCCUGGGAGCGUGGACGCGGACAGGAGGCCUGCGGGAGGCAGCAGACGGGAAUCUGCGGCAAUGGGCGAGAGCAUGGCGGAGCAACGGCGCGUGAGUGAUGAAGGUCUUCGGAGCGUAAAGCUCGGUUAUGAGGGGAGAACAUAUGUGUAAGUAGCUGUGCAGAUCGUGACGGUAACUAGUCAGGAAGCAACGGCUAACUACGUG
This 497-nucleotide ribosomal RNA is filed under the name uncultured bacterium. Its description in RNAcentral is "partial 16S ribosomal RNA". It matches the Rfam family "Bacterial small subunit ribosomal RNA", at positions 28 to 507 of the family's 1533-position model. The record is from RNAcentral.